RNAcentral lists this ribosomal RNA (428 nucleotides) under Bacteroidota bacterium. RNAcentral describes it as "Bacteroidetes bacterium partial 16S ribosomal RNA". It matches the Rfam family "Bacterial small subunit ribosomal RNA", at positions 355 to 776 of the family's 1533-position model. Lineage: Bacteria; Pseudomonadati; Bacteroidota. The record is from RNAcentral.
UAGGGAAUCUUCCGCAAUGGACGCAAGUCUGACGGAGCAACGCCGCGUGAGUGAAGAAGGAUUUCGGUUCGUAAAACUCUGUUGUUAGAGAAGAACAGCGCAUAGAGUAACUGUUAUGCGUGUGACGGUAUCUAACCAGAAAGCCACGGCUAACUACGUGCCAGCAGCCGCGGUAAUACGUAGGGGGCUAGCGUUGUCCGGAAUUAUUGGGCGUAAAGGGUACGCAGGCGGUUUAAUAAGUCGAAUGUUAAAGAUCGGGGCUCAACCCCGUAAAGCAUUGGAAACUGAUAAACUUGAGUAGUGGAGAGGAAAGUGGAAUUCCUAGUGUAGUGGUGAAAUACGUAGAUAUUAGGAGGAAUACCAGUAGCGAAGGCGACUUUCUGGACACAAACUGACGCUGAGGUACGAAAGCGUGGGGAGCAAACAGG